AGAGUUUGAUCCUGGCUCAGGACGAACGCUGGCGGCGUGCCUAAUACAUGCAAGUCGAGCGGAUCUUGCCCUUCGGGGCAAGGUUAGCGGCGGACGGGUGAGUAACACGUAGGCAACCUGCCCGUAAGACCGGGAUAACUGGCGGAAACGCCUGCUAAUACCGGAUAAUCGAUUCCCUCGCCUGUGGGGAUCGUGAAAGAUGCUUCGGCAUCGCUUGCGGAUGGGCCUGCGGCGCAUUAGCUAGUUGGCGGGGUAACGGCCCACCAAGGCGACGAUGCGUAGCCGACCUGAGAGGGUGAUCGGCCACACUGGGACUGAGACACGGCCCAGACUCCUACGGGAGGCAGCAGUAGGGAAUCUUCGGCAAUGGACGAAAGUCUGACCGAGCAACGCCGCGUGAGUGAGGAAGGCCCUCGGGUCGUAAAGCUCUGUUGCCAGGGAAGANNNGCUGGGAGAGGAAAUGCUCUCGGUUUGACGGUACCUGAGAAGAAAGCCCCGGCUAACUACGUGCCAGCAGCCGCGGUAAUACGUAGGGGGCAAGCGUUGUCCGGAAUUAUUGGGCGUAAAGCGCGCGCAGGCGGUUUCUUAAGUCUUGUGUUUAAUCCCGGGGCUCAACCUCGGUUCGCAUGGGAAACUGGGAAACUGGAGUGCAGGAAAGGAAAGUGGAAUUCCACGUGUAGCGGUGAAAUGCGUANAGAUGUGGAGGAACACCCAGUGGCGAANGCGACUUUCUGGCCUGUAACUGACGCUGA
Molecule: ribosomal RNA, 752 nt
Filed under: uncultured Bacillota bacterium
Lineage: Bacteria; Bacillati; Bacillota
Description: bacterial SSU rRNA
Rfam family: Bacterial small subunit ribosomal RNA
Source: RNAcentral